RNAcentral lists this ribosomal RNA (460 nucleotides) under uncultured bacterium. Its description in RNAcentral is "partial 16S ribosomal RNA". It matches the Rfam family "Bacterial small subunit ribosomal RNA", at positions 338 to 795 of the family's 1533-position model. The record is from RNAcentral.
CCUACGGGUGGCAGCAGUGAGGAAUAUUGGUCAAUGGACGGAAGUCUGAACCAGCCAUGCCGCGUGCAGGAAGACGGCUCUAUGAGUUGUAAACUGCUUUUGUACAAGGGUAAACCUGAAUACGUGUAUUCAGCUGAAAGUACUGUACGAAUAAGGAUCGGCUAACUCCGUGCCAGCAGCCGCGGUAAUACGGAGGAUCCAAGCGUUAUCCGGAUUUAUGGGGUUUAAAGGGUGCGUAGGCGGAUUGAUAAGUUAGAGGUGAAAUGUCCGAGCUUAACUCGGGAACUGCCUCUACUACUGUUGAUCUAGAGCGUAGCUGCGGUAGGCGGAAUGUAUUGUGUAGCGGUGUCAUGCUUAGCGCUCAUACAGAACCCCGAUUGCGAAGGCAGCUUACCACUCUAUAUCUGACGUUGAGGCACGAACGCGUGGGGAGCAAACAGGAUUAGAUACCCGAGUAGUC